UACAGCAAUGGUGGCUCGUGGAGCCUCUCAAUAGUUCCCGGAAGUAGCAGCAAACACAUGCCGCGCCGUAGAGAUGCAGCAGAACAAACCGUUUGCGACACACUUUUAAAAGUUUCAUCCAUCGUUUUUGGAAUUAGAGAAACGGAGUCUAAACAUAUAUGUUUUGCAGGGUGAGAUUGCUCCUGCUGACUUGAGCCAACCAUUUUUUUCUCCUCUCCAUGUCAGUGGGGAAGCCAUACAUUCACACACCUUUCUCUGAGCGAUUGGAGCAUCCCCAUGCAGCACAGCAAACCAUGGUGAAGACUAUGCAACGACAACAUGAAAGAAAGGACACAUACAAAAUGCUUGGCAUGCUAUUUCAUUUAUUAGAACUG
Xyrauchen texanus (razorback sucker) is the source of this 374-nucleotide long non-coding RNA. RefSeq lists it as uncharacterized. The record is from RefSeq and is a predicted model, not a curated record. Lineage: Eukaryota; Metazoa; Chordata; Actinopteri; Cypriniformes; Catostomidae. The transcript is spliced from 3 exons.